Molecule: ribosomal RNA, 213 nt
Filed under: uncultured bacterium
Lineage: Bacteria
Description: partial 16S ribosomal RNA
Rfam family: Bacterial small subunit ribosomal RNA
Source: RNAcentral
UACGGAGGAUCCAAGCGUUAUCCGGAAUCAUUGGGUUUAAAGGGUCCGUAGGCGGUUUUGUAAGUCAGUGGUGAAAGCCCAUCGCUCAACGGUGGAACGGCCAUUGAUACUGCAAGACUUGAAUUAUUGGGAAGUAACUAGAAAUAUGUAGUGUAGCGGUGAAAUGCUUAGAGAUUACAUGGAAUACCAAUUGCGAAGGCAGGUUACUACCAA